AACACCACCUGCCAACAUUCAGCCUCCUCUGCCCAUCAGCCUUGCUGACACAGGGAGUGGAGAUUUGUGUAGAGAAAUGACUCAUUCAAAUAUGACUUAAUCUAAACCGUAAGUGUAUGAUUUAUUAAUGUGCCACCAGGCCUUACACCAAGAGAGCCAUUCCAGAGAAAAGUCCUUUUUCUCCUGAGAACAGUGCCAGCAGCUGGCUUCGUGACAUUCUGGAAGCCCCGUGCAAUGCUGUCAGGAGCAUAGGGAUUUUACUUUAUCUCCCUUGCUUAUGCUCCACAUAACUGAAAUAUCUCACUGGAAGCUGCAGCAGUGCUGGCCCCUUGCACAGCCAUAUGUGACCACUGCAGAACAAUCAGUUGGAGAGACAGUUUGGACUACAUGGAGGGUGGAGAUAAGGACAAAGUGAAGAAUACACAGGAACCAGUGCCUCCUCCUGGAACUAUGCAACUCCAAGCUGCUUCCAUCAGCUGCUAGGUCCAGUAGGGAGGGACCUACUGAGAGGUGAUUGGAUUAUGGGGGCGGUUUCCCCCAUGCUGUUCUCAUGAUCGUGAGUGAGUUCUCAUUUGAUCUGAUGGUUUCACGAAAGGCUCUUUCUCCUUUGCUUUCUCUUCUCUCUCCUGCUGCUAUGUGAAGAAGGUGCCUGCUUCCCUUUCCGCUGUGAUUGUAAGUUUCCUGAGGCCUCCUCAGCCAUGUGGAACUGUGAGUCAAUGAAACCUGUUUCCUUUAUAAAUUACUCAGUCUCUGGUAUUCCUUUAUAGCAGUGUGAAAAUGGACUAAUAUACUUGCCCUUCAUCCCAACGAUGGAUUUAAGACUAGAGACAUUUCAAAUAGUAGGUUUUUUGCCAAAUGCCUUUCGCUGUAGAAAUUCUAUACAUGGCCUUUGUCUGUUACACUGGAAGUCCUGCCACUUCUUAGAUGGUGGAGAUUAAAACAGCGAUUUCUUGUGGUGGUGGCGGGGCUGGGGUUGGGAACAUUGAGGAUAAGGUGGGAGCUGCCCAUCUCAGACACUACUGAGAUAGUGGGAUGGGCCACAUAAAUGUCUAUGGAAGAGAUGCCUUUGCCAUACAAUUCCUUCAACAAAUACUCAUUGAUCACACACCAUAUCUGGGGGUGUAGCUGAGAACAAAACAAAGCUCCUGUUUUGAGGAGCUUUAGGCUGUAGAGAAAACAGAAAAUAAACAAGCAAGCAAAUGGAUGUUUUUAAGUGGCAAAAGUGCUAUAAAGGAAACAAGUAGUGGGAUGAGAUGAGGGGAGGAGAACUUCAGGUAAGGUGGCAUCAGAGCAGGAAGCUGAACUGAGGGUGAGUGAGCUGAGCUCAACAGAAAGGACUGUUGGACUGAGCCAGCCACAUGGAGAUCUGGAGAAGGGAAGAGGGCACUACCAUUUUGUUUUUGUUUUUUAUUGGAUUUAAGACGUCACUAUUGUACCUCUAAAAGAAAAAAAAAAACUGUAAUUAUAAUUGUAAAUUACAAAAUUGAUUGUAAAACACAUUUUGAUAACAAUGAAUUAAAAUAUGUUAAAUUACAUGCCUUAGCAUCAAUAUAUUAGUUCAAAAGCCCAGAAGUGUUAAACAAGCUUAGUGCUUAUCUAAGCAACUGAAAAGAAUCUGAUAUGUUUAUAGUUGGUGAAUGACAGAGAAAAAGAUAUGAGGUUUCAGGGGGGCAAAAGGAUAAAUCUUGAGGUCUUAGUUUAAUUAAAAACGGGUGAUGAUACCAUUUACUGAGAUAGGAGAGAUUUCAGGUUGCCAAGAUGUCAAUUUCAGACAUAUUUUAUAUAUGUUAAGUGACAAUUAAGAGAAGGAGGGUUAAAAGGAGACUUAAGAUUCAGUGAAAACUCAAGGUUUAUGAAGACUUUUGCUCCAUAUCCAUCAGGAAACCAGAAAUCCCUGAAAUUAAUAGCUGAAUAAAUAGAAUAAGGUCAACAUUAUUUUUAACACAUAUUUUUAUGUCAUAUGCAUACUAUGUCACCAUAAUCAGUAAACUGUUAAAGUGCCAGAAAAUGCUUCUACAUCAUUUUCAUUCUGACAGGAAGUAGAUAGAAAUGGCAUGUAUCUACGAAGCCAAGUUCUUUCAAAAUUUACAGCUUAAUUUCUCCAAUUGUUUAGAGUGAUAAAUUUUUCACUGAGGCCAUUGACCAGCACAAUAAUUGUGUCUACACAGCAUGUUUAUAUCAAAUACCAUUGCAUCUGUUAUGUCCUGUUCAUGCUGUGACCUUCCCAGAAGGCAGUUAGGGAUUGAAACUAGUACGCACAAUAGUGUAGAUCAGAAAACUGAUGUCAGGCUCUAGUGACAUGUGUAGGUACUGGCAGAACUGGAAUUAGAACCAGAUUUCUACAGUUGCACCCCUGGUUCUUUGCUCCAAAUGCUAAAGCCCUUGGUUAUUUGAUUUUCCUGUUGUCUUUAUCCUAUCCCCAGGCUCUAUUUGGGUUUCUGUAGUGAAAUUAAGGAUAACCUCAUCUGCAUGCUGUACUUUCUUAAAUAGAUUUUUCUAAUCUCCCAUACUCCCACAACCAUAAAUGACAAAAUACAAGCAUGCUUAGGAUCAUUGUGCCCCACAAUAAAAAAAGCUGUUGCUAUGUUUUGGAAACAGAUCAAUCUUGGUAUUUAAGUGUUGUUUGAACAAAGAUUAACUGAGCCUGUUCUCCUCCCCCAGGUACUCAGACCCAGAACAUACUGUUUUCACUCCAAGAGUCUGAAUGUCUCUUUUCUGAGAAAGAUGAAGAAAAAGUACUUUUUUCAUGAAUUUAAUACUCAUUAAAGUCAAUAGUCGGAAAGCCUGGCUAAUUAGCAGACUUCUUCAGAGGACUUUAAAUAAUAUAGUUACUGUAUUUUUAUUAUAUUGAAAUCUCCAAAUAUAUAAAGUUAGAAUCUUCAAGGUGGGAGGAAGAGGAGAAAUUGGAUUUCUCUAAGCUCCCUAGUGAUUCUGAUGAUGACUCAUUUGGGGAAGUGCAGCAUUGAAUGGCCCUUCUAAAAUGAGGACAGCUAUUUUUUGGACUAAGCACCCCUCCCGACUCUCCCCAUUCCUCAUCCUCUCAGAGACUUCUCUCUCUCAGAUUGCCCCAUCUGUCUCAUGUAUUAUAAUCACUUCCCCUCUACUGGUUUCUUCUCAUACGUUUAACUUGUUCAAGUGCCUUCCAUCUUUAAAAACAGUCAAGGCACAGCCCUUGAUUUAACCAUAGGAAGCCCGCUCCCCACCACCCUGCCAUCAGCUCUCUUCUUCCUGUGUAGUGAGCACUGCUUCUUUGAGCUUCUGAAAGCUGUAGUCACUGCCUCUUGCUGGUAACUGAAAGCACAUUUCUAAGUUCGCAUAUUCCCUGACUUCUUGACAGCACUCAUGACUCGCCAUCUCCUUUUCUGGAACACUGUUUGCUUGGCUUUCACAAUAUCAUGCUUUUCUAGUUCUUUUUCCUGUUUUGGACACUGCUUUACAGAGAAUUAACAUUCCUCUUUUUCCCGCUGACCCUGAAUCAAGAAAGAAUCAUGUUUCUUUCUUUAUUUUUUAUAUCUUAACUUUUGAGGGGUAGAUUUUCAAGCAUACAUAAAAGUGAAGAGAACAGGAUAAUGAACUAGGUGUACACAUGACUGCAUCUUAUCAGUGCAAUACACACUCAUAUUACUUUUUCUAUACUUCAUCCAUUUUCUCCCUGCUCCCUGACUUGGAUCAAAUCCCAGACAUUACAUUAUUUAACCUGCAAAUAUUUCAUCAUAUAUAUGUGGGAAUAUAUAGAUCUCUAUCACUAUAUAUAGUGAGAAUUUCUUUCAAAGAAAAGAUAAUCACAAUAUUAUAAUCUCAUCAAAUGUAGUUGUUAUAAUUCCUUAAUGUCAGUCUAAUAACAAUCCUGUUUUCACAAUUUCUUCUCUUGUAGAUUUUUAAAAAUUAAUUUUGUUGAAUUGAAAUCUAAAUAAGAUACAGAGAUAAAGAUUCAUUGACAUGUCCCUUAAGUAUUUUAGUUUAUAGGCUGUCCUACUAUAUUCCCUGCCUCUUCUUGCAUUUUAUCUUGAUUCAGUUGAAAACUCUGGGUCAUUUGUCUUAUAAAGUUCAUGGGGUCUGCAAUUUGGUGAAGGUGUCCUUUUGGCAUUAUUUAACAUGCGUCUCUGUUCCUUGUAUUUUCUAGAAAUUAUUGGUUAUAUCUAGAGGUUUGAUCAGAUUUAGGUGAAAUUAUAAAAAGAUUCCGUCAUAGGUGAUUUUGUGAAGUUCCAUCAGAAGGUACCCAUCUGGUUUUCUCUCCUUUUGUGAUGCUAGCAGCCACUGAAUAUGGUAAUCUACUCCAAUCAUUAACUAAAUUUCUUUUCUGGAAUUAUUCCAAAAGAGAAACUUUUUUCAUCAUGCAUUUGGUUGUCCUGAGGUAUGAUUGUAUAGGAAAAACAGGAUAACCUACUGAUACUUUCUGUUUAAACUAGUAUUCAAAAUAAUAAAAGUAGUCCCCUAGUAUUAUCUAAAGAUUUCAAAAGACUUUUAAAAAAAUUAUUGAUGAUUUUAUGAGCUCAGGGAUUAAACAUAGUCAAUCUGUUUCAAUCCCUUGCAGUUAUUCCAAUUAAUAAUCAAAUUUUCCUGCCUUUGGCUUGCGGCAGCGUAUUCAUGUUGAAUUCUGGGUCACUUUGACAUGACUCCAGUUGUCUUUGAUGGUAUCCUUUUUGUGACAAAAUGUCCCAGGAUUAUAAUUUCCUGUCCCAUACUGGGAAACAGCCAGUUCUCCAAAGAGCUCUGGAACCAUUCAGUGAGAAAUGUAUUUAGAUGCAACAUUCUGGGUGCUAAGCAUGCCCAUUAACCUGAUCAAUCUCACGUCUUUCCUUUCUUUCAGCAUUGCCAGAAAACUCAUUUCUCAGUGACACCAUUGUAAUUACUCAUUUGAUUAUCCCGCAAUACACAUAUAAGAGUCUCAGGAAAACAGUACCAUCAGCAUUAUAUGGUAAUAUCUACAAGCACUUUAAUAUUUUCUUAUUGGGGGUACACUUUUUUCCAUAGAGAAUAUUUUACUAGGUAAGAACAAUAAUAUUGAUAUGUUUUAAUUUUUCUUGAAGUGGUUCUUCUGUAUGAGGUUAUAUCACCAAGUAGAUAUACAGUUAUAAUGUUUGAUUAUUACACAUUGCUUUUCUUAAAAUUUAAUUUUGUUUUAAAGCUAUUAAAAUCAGGUUUCUUAAAGAAAGAUCCUCAUUCUAUCUGGAUCAAAAUCACUUUCAGAGCUAAUUAAAAAUGUGGUGUCCUGGACUCACGAAGCCAGAAUUGCUGAGGAGAUAGCCCGAGAAUCUGAAUUUUUAGCAGACAUUUUUUUAGGGUGUGGGGAAGAGCGAGAAAAAGAUUUCCGCUCUGGAAGGUAAACAAAUACUCUCUGGAGAGAGAAGAGGAAUGUCCCUAGCAGAUGUCUCCAGAGAAGACAAGACUUUAAAUUCCGCCAGGGAAAUAUACAAUGUCUAACUUCUAAGGCACAUUUGCCAUUCAAUCAUGCUUUAACCCACGUUGCCAGAAAUUUUUGCUCACUAGGUUUUGACUGUACAGGAAUGUGAAAAUAUUCAUGAAGAGUUGUUUUCCAAUGCUAAAGAAUUGAUGUGUUUUAACAGUUGAAUUAAUUGUAUUGAUUAUGAUCACACCUACUUUUUAUAUAUCUUCAUUUCUAACGUUUCUGUACAAUCCUGCCUUUCCACCUGAUAUAGUUAGGCCUUGUGUCAUCAACCAAAUCUCAUCUUGAAUUGUAAUCGCCAUAAUCCCCACGUAUUUAGGGAGAGACCUGGAGGGAGGUGUUUGGAUCAUGGGGGCGGUUUCCCGCAUGCUGUUCUCAUGACCAUGAGAGUAAGUUCUCAAGAGAUCUGAUGGUUUUAUAAGCGUCUGUCAUUUCCACUGCUUGCACUUCUGUGUCCUGCCACCUUGUGAAGAAGGACGUGGUUGCUUCCCCUUCCACCAUGAUUGUGUUUCCUGAGGCCUCCCCAGCCUUGCAGAGCUGUGAGUCAAUUAAACCUCUUUCCUUUAUAAAUUACUCAGUCUCUGUAUUCCUCUGCAGCAGUGUGAGAACAGACUAAUACAUCACCACUUUAUUUACUUUACUCUCUCCCCAUACCGAGGUUUUCUACAUUUUCUUUCUAGGUCUCUACAGUUUCUGCAAAGAUCCUUUAUGGAACUCUUAGGGAAGCUGGGAUGUAUAAUAAAUAAAGGGCUCUUUUCUUUGAGUCCCACACCCAUUUUCUGUGUAUAAAAAUCUUCAACUCCACUUUUGUCUGUUCUAUUUAAAUGUGUGCACAUUUCCUUCUAAUGUUGUAUAUGAAAAAGAGACACCUCUUAGCAGUCUUUCAUAGAGCAAAAUUUUUUACUUUGAUAAAAUCUAAUUUAUCAAUAUUUUUAAAUUUUAUGGAUCAAUCAUGCUUUUGAGGUUGAAUUUAAGAAUGCUUUGCCUAGCCCUAGAUCCCAAGUAUCUUUUAAAAAUUAUUUUUCUAAAUGCAUUAUUUAUGUUUUACACUUAAGUCUAUAAUCCAUUUUGAGUCCAUGUGUAAGAUUUAGGUUAAGGUCAAGAUUUAUCUGUUUUUGUUGUUUUCUCUAUAAAUGUCAAUUGCUCCAGCACUAUUUGUUUAAAAGCCAAUCUUUCCUCCGCUGAGUUCUUCCUAUAAGUUUGUCAAAAGUCAAUUUGGCAUCUUUGUAUAAGUUUAUUUCUGGAUUCUCUAUUCUGUUUUAUUGAUCACUGCAUCUAUCCCUCUUGAUUAGCUAGAUAAUAAAUCCUACAAUAAGGUAGAAUUCUUCCCACUUUAUUCAUAUUCAAAAUAUUUUAAAGCUAUUCUAGUUUCUUUUUAUUUCCAUAUAUAUUUUAGGAUAAUCUUAUCUAUAUUUACAACAUAUGUUGCUAGGAUUUUGAUAGAAUUUGUUUUAAAUUUGUGUAUCAAUGUAGGGAAGACCUGACAUCUUUACUAUUACGUUGAUCUUCCAAUCAAUGAAUAUGGUAUAUCUCUCAGUUUAUAGCUAUUGUCUUUAAUUUAUUUCAUCAUGGUUUUUAGUUUUCAGCAGAGAAGCUUUAUACAUGUUUUGUUAUACAUGUAUAACAAAAGAAGCCUUAUACACUGACAUUUUAUAUUUUGAACAAUUGUAAAUGGUAUUGUUUAAAAAUUUUGUUGUCUAUGAUAGAAAUAAAAUUGAUUUUUGUAGGUUUAUCUUGUAACCUAUGACUUGCUGAGCUCGCUCAUUAGUUUUUUUAUUGUGAUAAAAUAUACAUGAGAUAAAUUUCAUCAUUAUAAUCAUUAAGUUUAGACAUCAAUUGCAUUAAGUACAUAAAUGCCUUAUGCAACCAUCAUCUCUAUCCAUCUCCAGACCCUUUGCAUCACCCUAAAAUGAAACUCUGUGCCCAUUAAACAAUAACUCCCCAUUCUGCCCUCACCCCAGCCCUUGGUAAUUACCAUCCUACCUUUUAUCUCUAUAAAUUUAACCAUCCCAGGUAACUCAUAUAAGUGGAAUCAUGCAGUGUUUGUCCUUUUGUAACUGGUUUAUUUCACUUAGCAUGAUGUCUUCAAGGUUUGCCUAUGUCAUAGCAUGUGUCAGAAUUUCAUCCCUUUUUAAACUUAAAUAAUAUUCCACUGUAGGCAUAUGCCACAUUUUGUUUAUUUGUUCAUCUGUUGAUGGGCAUUUGGGUUGUUUCCACCUUUUGGCUACUGUGAAUAAUGCUGCUGUGAUCAUGGGUAUGCAACUGUCUCCUGGAGUCCCUGCUAUCAAUUCUUGUGGGUAUAUACCCAGAAGUGGAAUUGUUGCAACAUAUAGUAAUUCUAUGUUUAAUUUUUUGAGGACCUGCCAUAAUGUUUUCCACAGUAGCUACAUUGUCUUAUAUUCCCAUUAAGAGUUCCAAUUUCCUCACAUCUUCACCAAUACUUAUUGUUUUCUGUUUUUUUAAAUAAUAGCCAUCAUAAUAAAAGUAACAUGGUAUCUCAUUGUGGUUUUAACUGCAUUUCCCUUUUUACUGGAUUGUUUGUAAUAUUGCUGUAAUUGAGUUGUAGGAGUUUUUAAAUAUGUUCUGAAUAAUUAAUUUCUUAUCAGAUAUGUCAUUUGCAAAUAUUUUCUGCCAUUCUCUGGGUUGUCAUUUCACUCUCUUGAUAGUGUCCUUUGAUGCACAGAAGUUUUGAAAUUUGAUAAAGUUUAAUUUGCGUAUGUAUUUAUUUUGUUGCUUAUGCUUUUGGUGUCAUAUCCAAGAAAUUAUUGCCAAAUUCAGUGUCAUGAAGAUUUUCCCCUGUGUUUUCCUCUAAGAGUAUUAUAGUUUUAACUCUUGCACUUAGAUUGAUCCGCUUUGAGUUAAUUUUAGUAUAUGGGGUAAGACAAGGGCUCAAAUUUGUUCUUUUGUUUGAAGAUUCUAGGUCAUUUGUGAUCUUUAGGAUUUUCUAUGUAGACAUUAAUGUCAUCUUCAAAUAUGAACAGUUUAUUUCUUCCUUUUGUAUAUGUAUGAAUUUACUUUCCUUUUCUUGCCUUAUUGCACUGGCUAGAGUUUUCAGUACUAUGAUGAAUAAAAUCAGUGAGAGCAGACACCCUUGCUUUGUUUCUAAUCUUAGGAGGAAAGCUUUCAGUCUUUCAUCAUUAGGUAUACUGUUAGUUGUAGGCUUAUUAUAGAUGCUCUUUAUCAGGUUGAGGCAGUUUCCUCCUUGGUUAAGACUUUCUAUUUUUCAUUUUCAGUUAUGACCAGGCAUGUUCAUAACUGCUCAUCAAAACUUUGAAUUAGUGGCUGCUUUAACAUCCUUCUCAGACAAUUCUAACAUCUGUUUUGUUGGUGGUGGCAUCUAUCAAUUGUCUUUUUCAUUCUGUUUGAGAUCUUCCUUGCGUUUGGUAUGAUUUUUUUAAAUAUUAUGUCAUGAAACUGCAUCUUAUUUAAAUCUUCUGUUUUAGUUGGCUAUGUCUGACAUCACUUCCCCAGGGGAAGGUGUUGUUACUGCUAGUGGAGGGUGAGAAUUAUGGCUCUCCACUGACAUUGUGGUGGGAUUGGUCCCAUUACCACUGGGCAGGGUUGAAAGUCCUGACUUUCUGCUAGGCCUUCUCUGACUUCAUCGCAGCAGGAGGAAAAGAUGCCUCUGGAGUUGAAGUCAGGUUGCACUGACACUGUGUGUGUAUGGAGGUAGGCUGGGGUGAAAGUGGAGACUCAUUACCACAUGGUGAGUAGUUUCCAGCUCUCUAUUUGGCCUUCUCUGAUACCACCCAGACAGGGACAUUGGGGAUACCUCAUUACAGCCUAGUGAGGGUCAAACUCUAGGCUCCCCACUCAGUCUUUGCUAUCAUGGACACUGUAGGACCAUAGUUUUUUCUGUGCUGUUUGCUUGAUGUGUCUUCCUUGGACCCUGAGUUCCAUAGCUGGUCUGCAUUCCUCUCUCCACCUUUAAGACGUCUUCUUAUGUUUAUUUCAUAUUUAACAUCCAGGGUGGUAAUUAGAGGGAAGAAUAGAGGGAAAAGUACAGUUGCACUUUGUUGUUCAAAGAGCAGUUUUGAACUGCACAGACCCAUUUCUCUGAGCACACCCAGGGAUGAUUGUACUUGUAUAAAAUUUUUUUCCUGGAUGCAGAAUUCUCAAUUGACUGUGAAAGUUCAUAACAAAGAAAACAGUGGGGAAGACAAAUCUGGAAAUGAGGAAAAUAAAAAUUAAAUAGUGAGACCACCCAUGGAGCUUGUGGCAAAGCCUGAAUUGAAUCCGCUGUAUCUUAAGAUUGUGCCUCAUUCUAAAUUUAAGUCACCCUUCUCAUUAUGAAAGUGUCACAACUUCUCAGUAGGUGAGGAGACAGUCUAAAUUUGAGAAAAGAAAGUUACAACAAAGGUUUUGAGCAAGCUGCUAAGUGGAUUUAUUCAUGUUUGAGAAAUCAAAUAUAUGGUUAAUGAGCUCUUUAACUAGAAGCCAACACUAGGGAGGAGUAGACAGAAGUCACGGGGAGGGAGCCCCCGGACAUUUCAAAAGACUUUGCCCUGCAACAUCUCCUCCACAUUUAAGCUUUUAGGUUAUUGUAGCCACAUCACAAGCAUGUUACCUACCCAGAUAUUGUCUGCGCAUCAUUCCCAAAAGCUUCCCUGGGUCUUCAUAAUAUUAAUGAGAUUCUCCCCCAGGUUAGACCCCUUUGGCUUGAGUCAGAAACAGAAUUAAUCCGGGGGACAAUCCAGCAGCACCCAUCUCUGGGUUGCAGAAAUAUCUGAGGUGACCAGGCAGUGUUUGGAGUCCCCUCAGUUAGCUAACAAAGUGAGUUCACAGCUUCCAAGACCCCAGGCUUUCCAGGCUAAUAAAGAGCUGAGGUUAUAGGCUCUCCUUAUCAAACGCUCUUUGGCAGCUGCCAUAACCAUUCCAAGUCUAGUCCUAGAAUAGAAAUGACGCGGUUUCAGGAGCUGACAGAUGGAACUUUAAGCCUUCCUUCCUGCCACAUCUGAAGUUCUUUUUUAAAAAAAUAGAAAACCAUGACAAUAAACACUCCUUGAAUGCCCUGUGGAAAAGUGUACUCCUCAGAAUUCACUAAAGUGGGGUGAAGCAGUGGGUUGUGGUGCUGAGAAAACAUCUCUUCCCCUCGGCAGUAUAUUGGAAUCUCAUAGAAACUUCUGUGGCUGGGAAGCAAACAUGCUCUCUGCCCCAUUGCUCUUAUUCAUCUUUAGACCUGAUAAUACAGUUUGAACUUCAAGUUGCACUUUAAAUGGCAUGCAUUUUUA
RNAcentral lists this long non-coding RNA (10638 nucleotides) under Homo sapiens (human). RNAcentral's name for it is "HSALNT0024045". Lineage: Eukaryota; Metazoa; Chordata; Mammalia; Primates; Hominidae. The record is from RNAcentral.